Molecule: ribosomal RNA, 28 nt
Filed under: Phlyctema vagabunda
Lineage: Eukaryota; Fungi; Ascomycota; Leotiomycetes; Helotiales; Dermateaceae
Description: partial 28S ribosomal RNA
Source: RNAcentral
GGUUGACCUCGAUCAGGUAGGGAUACCC